GUCCUCUUUCUGCGCAUGCGCAUCCGGACCCUGAGCACCAUGUCGGAGCGCAGAGAUGAGACGGAGGAGGUGAAAACUCUCAGAUGAGGAGGUGAACGAGCAGGGGUCGUUGGUGCCGCUGGAGAGUCACAGAGGGGCUGGUUACACCACAACAACAACAACAACACUACAACAA
Paralichthys olivaceus (Japanese flounder) is the source of this 175-nucleotide non-coding RNA. The record is from RefSeq and is a predicted model, not a curated record. NCBI's taxonomy places the organism in Eukaryota, Metazoa, Chordata, Actinopteri, Pleuronectiformes, Paralichthyidae.